RNAcentral lists this ribosomal RNA (253 nucleotides) under uncultured bacterium. Its description in RNAcentral is "partial 16S ribosomal RNA". It matches the Rfam family "Bacterial small subunit ribosomal RNA", at positions 524 to 776 of the family's 1533-position model. The record is from RNAcentral.
UACAGAGGUCUCAAGCGUUGUUCGGAUUCAUUGGGCGUAAAGGGUGCGUAGGUGGCGCGCUAAGUCAGGUGUGAAAUUUCGGAGCUUAACUCCGAAACUGCAUUUGAUACUGCCGUGCUCGAGGACUGGAGAGGAGACUGGAAUUUACGGUGUAGCGGUGAAAUGCGUAGAUAUCGUAAGGAAGACCAGUGGCGAAGGCGGGUCUCUGGACAGUUCCUGACGCUGAGGCACGAAGGCCAGGGGAGCAAACGGG